GAGGGCCAGAAUCCCUUACUUCUCUCUCUCUCUCUCUCUCUCUCUCUCUCUCUGACACACACACACACACAGAGAGAGAGAGAGAGAGAGAGAGAGAGAGAGCAAAGCCUCUCUUGCAG
Podarcis lilfordi (Lilford's wall lizard) is the source of this 119-nucleotide non-coding RNA. Lineage: Eukaryota; Metazoa; Chordata; Lepidosauria; Squamata; Lacertidae. The record is from the annotation of a GenBank genome assembly.